RNAcentral lists this ribosomal RNA (468 nucleotides) under uncultured bacterium. RNAcentral describes it as "partial 16S ribosomal RNA". It matches the Rfam family "Bacterial small subunit ribosomal RNA", at positions 28 to 507 of the family's 1533-position model. The record is from RNAcentral.
GACGAACGCUGGCGGCGUGCUUAACACAUGCAAGUCGAACGGAAAGGCCCUGCUUUUGUGGGGUGCUCGAUUGGCGAACGGGGGAGUAACACGUGAGUAACCUGCCCUUGUCUUUGGGAUAACUUCAGGAAACUGGGGCUAAUACCGGAUAGGAUCUCCUGCUCCAUGUUGGUGGUUGGAAAGUUUCGGCGGUUGGGGAUGGAAUCGCUGCUUAUCAGCUUGUUGGUGGGGUAGUGGCUGACCAAGGCUUUGACGGGUAGCCGGCCUGGGAGGGUGACCGGCCUCAUUGGGACUGAGGGACGGCGCAGACUCCAACGGGCGGCAGCAGUGGGAAAUAUUGCACAAUAAGCGGAAGCCUGAUGUAGCAACGCCCGGUGCGGGAUGACGGCUUUCGGGUUGUAAACAGAUGUCGAAGGUGACGAAGCGGGAGUGACGGUAAUGAGUCAAGAAGCACCGGCUAACUACGUG